This 475-nucleotide ribosomal RNA is filed under the name uncultured organism. Its description in RNAcentral is "partial 16S ribosomal RNA". It matches the Rfam family "Bacterial small subunit ribosomal RNA", at positions 331 to 797 of the family's 1533-position model. The record is from RNAcentral.
GUACACUCCUACGGGAGGCAGCAGUGGGGAAUUUUGGACAAUGGGCGAAAGCCUGAUCCAGCAAUGCCGCGUGUGUGAAGAAGGCCUUCGGGUUGUAAAGCACUUUUGUCCGGAAAGAAAUCCUUGGCUCUAAUACAGUCGGGGGAUGACGGUACCGGAAGAAUAAGCACCGGCUAACUACGUGCCAGCAGCCGCGGUAAUACGUAGGGUGCGAGCGUUAAUAGGAAUUACUGGGCGUAAAGCGUGCGCAGGCGGUUUGCUAAGACCGAUGUGAAAUCCCCGGGCUCAACCUGGGAACUGCAUUGGUGACUGGCAGGCUAGAGUAUGGCAGAGGGGGGUAGAAUUCCACGUGUAGCAGUGAAAUGCGUAGAGAUGUGGAGGAAUACCGAUGGCGAAGGCAGCCCCCUGGGCCAAUACUGACGCUCAUGCACGAAAGCGUGGGGAGCAAACAGGAUUAGAUACCCCAGUAGUCCCA